UACGUAGGGUGCAAGCGUUGUCCGGAUUUAUUGGGCGUAAAGAGCUCGUAGGCGGUCUGUCGCGUCGAUCGUGAAAACUUGGGGCUUAACCCUGAGCUUGCGGUCGAUACGGGCAUGACUGGAGUUCGGCAGGGGAGACUGGAAUUCCUGGUGUAGCGGUGAAAUGCGCAGAUAUCAGGAGGAACACCGGUGGCGAAGGCGGGUCUCUGGGCCGAUACUGACGCUGAGGAGCGAAAGCGUGGGGAGCGAACAGG
This 254-nucleotide ribosomal RNA is filed under the name uncultured bacterium. RNAcentral describes it as "partial 16S ribosomal RNA". It matches the Rfam family "Bacterial small subunit ribosomal RNA", at positions 524 to 776 of the family's 1533-position model. The record is from RNAcentral.